AAAAUUUCAUUUAGUGGGCACGUGCCCAAAUCAUGAAGUACAAGGAAAUUCGGGAAAUACAACACAAUAAAGGGAGUUACAUAGAAAUACAGUACAAUACUGGAAAAGGAACUACAGGGAAAUAAAAAUAUUCAGUUGAGUUCGCAGGCAUAUUCCAAAGCAUCUCGAGGUCCUGUUCGCCAAAUCAAAAAGAAAAAUUAGUGAUGUUAAAUGAAAAUGCAAAAUAAACAUGUGCACCCAAAUCUCCAUUAAUUGGAGAAUUAACCGAAUCGCGGGAAUAGGGGAACAAAUUUCUGUUGGAACGAAUUUCUAUUAGAGGGAAAGCCAGCAAUCGUUCUUUGCUGGGAAGGAAAGAAGGAAACUAAACCAACCCUAUAACCAGGGAGUCUCGCACAGACAUUGGGAGGCGAGAAUAGAAGGAAGAGGAUUGUGCAAUUAACACGCAAUCGAGCAAUUGAGAGACACAACUGAGAGAUUGAGAGAAAAGACACAGACUGACAGUAAGAAGUGCAGACAGAGGCAGAAAGGAGUUCCUGAAGUGUUCAAAUUGCAACAACCUCGCAAAGCUCUCACAAGUUGGAGCCAAUCCCUCAAGAAAGCACUUCGUAGUGCUCUCCCAUUCAGAAUCCAAAAGCCAACUCAGAGGUCCCCAGAAGGACCUCUAGAUAGAUACAGACAUAUUCAAAGGCAAGAAAAAAAGACCGGAGGAGUGGAAGAUUGAAGGUGAUCCUGCCAGGCGAGUAGAUCAGGCUCGCAGGUAGUGGGGUUUCAGUACCGCCGUGUCAGUAAAGUAAGUAUUUUUGGGAGUAUUUCUAUAUAGCCCUAGCCUAGUUGAGGGUAUUUUGGGAAACAGUCAUUUAUGUAUAGUUUGGGAACAUUGUAGCUCUCUGGUAUUGUACAUAUUUAUAUAAGGUAGUGGUAGUGUGAUUUUAG
Molecule: long non-coding RNA, 933 nt
Organism: Malania oleifera
Lineage: Eukaryota; Viridiplantae; Streptophyta; Magnoliopsida; Santalales; Ximeniaceae
Exons: 2
Source: RefSeq, a predicted model, not a curated record